CCUACGGGCGGCAGCAGUGGGGAAUAUUGCACAAUGGGCGCAAGCCUGAUGCAGCCAUGCCGCGUGUGUGAAGAAGGCCUUCGGGUUGUAAAGCACUUUCAGCGGGGAGGAAGGCGUUAAGGUUAAUAACCUUGGCGAUUGACGUUACCCGCAGAAGAAGCACCGGCUAACUACGUGCCAGCAGCCGCGGUAAUACGGAGGGUGCAAGCGUUAAUCGGAAUUACUGGGCGUAAAGCGCACGCAGGCGGUUUGUCAAGUCGGAUGUGAAAUCCCCGGGCUCAACCGGGGAACUGCAUUGGAAACUGGGAGGCUAGAGUCUUGUAGAGGGGGGUAGAAUUCCAGGUGUAGCGGUGAAAUGCGUAGAGAUCUGGAGGAAUACCGGUGGCGAAGGCGGCCCCCUGGACAAAGACUGACGCUCAGGUGCGAAAGCGUGGGGAGCAAACAGGAUUAGAUACCCUAGUAGUC
This 465-nucleotide ribosomal RNA is filed under the name uncultured Klebsiella sp. Its description in RNAcentral is "bacterial SSU rRNA". It matches the Rfam family "Bacterial small subunit ribosomal RNA", at positions 338 to 795 of the family's 1533-position model. The record is from RNAcentral. Lineage: Bacteria; Pseudomonadati; Pseudomonadota; Gammaproteobacteria; Enterobacterales; Enterobacteriaceae.